Rattus norvegicus (Norway rat) is the source of this 31356-nucleotide non-coding RNA. The record is from RefSeq and is a predicted model, not a curated record. NCBI's taxonomy places the organism in Eukaryota, Metazoa, Chordata, Mammalia, Rodentia, Muridae.
GGGACAGAUUAACCCUUGGGCUCAGUCCCCCCACCCCUGCUGCCACAGUGGGUAGGGGUGGGGGAGCUGGCCUUUCUUCUUUUUCCUGGAUACAAUUGCCUUUGUGUUGGGACCCUCUGUCUCAGCAGACACACCCGUGGGCCAAAUUCUCUAGACCCCAGAAAAGUGAAAACAGGCCAUUGCCAAGACAAGCAGGGAGGCUGGAAGCAGCAACCCGGCUGCCAGUGAGUCAGGCAGGAGCGGAAACAGGAUGCUUUGUGACUUCCAGGUAUUCUGAGUCUCCUAAGCUUUUAUUUUUAUCUCUUUAAAAAGACAGUGCUGCUGUAAAAGGGUUUAGUAAGAUAAACCAGGACUUCACCCCUUCCCUUUGAAAGAGCCUGAGCUGGAUUCUUCCAGGCUCAGAAAACCCUGGUGUGCCCCUUGACCUGCAUCUGGGGAAUGCGGGGGCCUUCCAGGCUGCCUUCUGACCGCCACUCUCUGAAUGAACAAACCAUAAUGGGUCAAUUCUCUGCUGUCUGCUAUUUAAAACAACGGGUUCCUUCCUGUUUCCUACGCUGACUGAGGCUUCUUCUGUGUUAAAGAAAAAAAGAGAAACCCGGAAUACAGUGCCCCUCUGAGACUGAAUGAGCCACACAGCUCGCUGCUGCUCCACAAAGCUCCUGUUUUAUCUGUACAGAUGGCUCUCACUUGGUGUUGGGUGCCUGGCUCUGUGAGGAAUCUCUGACCUGCAAGUGUUCCCACCAGAGGAAGAAGGGUAGAUGCCCCGCCCCCUACAUACACCGGAAGUGAGGAUUCACUAUACUUUUUUCCGCUUCAGUUUGGUUAGAGACAAAGAGAGGUUUAGUUACUGCCUGCUCCCAUGUCAAGGUAUGGCAGACAGGGGACAAACAGUAUGGUCUUAGAGGGUGGGGCAGGGACAGGCUCGGGGAGCCUGACUCUUUUUCCUUCCCUUAGACUGAGUGUGAGAAAGAUUAGGUUAGAAGGGAACCCAGAUUCCCUUCAGCCGUGAGUUUCAGGAGCUCCUGUUUUCCUGGGAACACCACCCAACUGAACUAAAGGUCGACCACAUUUCUGGCCUUGCAUUGUUUGGUGGCUCUUGGGCUUCGGCUUCUCUAAGAGGGACGGUUAGCCUGGAGUCACCCAGUCAUUCACCAGCACACUGGACCCCAUAAUGGCUUGGGAUCACAGUAGUUCCCACCUGUGGAAGCUGCCAUCUCCACAGAAUGGCUGUGGAAGACAUACACCUGGGCAUACACUCAGGGAAGUGGGAUUCAGAUAGUGUUGUAUCAGGUCGUGAGGAGAAAGGAAAACUUCCAGCCUGAAAGGAAAGAAGGUAUUCCCAGUAGAGGGGAUCUAGGAGCAAGUGUGCAGUGUGUGUGGGGUGACUAAGACAUGGAUGGGGUCUGGUGCUAUACCAGAGCUCUGUAGAUAGCUACAGCACAAAGAAAGACAAGUGUAGUUAGAGUGUGUGUGCAUGUGUGUGCACCUGUGCUUAUGCAUGUGAGUGUGACUUGGGAGGAGCCUAAGACAAAGUUUUCAAAGUAAGACUGGGCAGGGUGUCCUGAGACAAACCCAUAUUCCCAACACCCAAGAGACUGAGGUAAGAGGCCGGGAGUUCCACCCCAUCAUGGGUUAUGUAGCAAGACCCCUGUCGUAGGAAACAUAACAUUAUGUUGGAAGCUGAAAGUGUGGUUGGCCGAAGAAAGCCCAAAAUACCAUUUUAAGGCCUUGAGGUACGCAAGAGUUACAGGAUGAAAUAUUAUACUCGUGUUCUGUUUAUUUUGGAACAGAGUCUCACUGUGCAGCCUAGGCUGAGGGGUACCUUGUGAUCUUCCUGCCUCUGCCUCCAGAACGCUAGGGUCACAGGUCUCUGCCAUGGUGCCAGCACUGGACAUGGACUUUGAAGACUGCAUCCUGCAUUCUCUUUAGGAAGAGGGGGAAGGACCAGUCAGGAGGUGGCUGUGAGGAUCUAAGACUGAAUGAAGGAGGGAGAUGGGGAGGCUGAGCCGUCACUGCUGUGUGGUGUGUGAUGUGGUGUGGGUAUGUGUAUGUGUGGUGUGUGUCUGUGGAGUGUGUGUUUGUGUCUCUGUGUGGUACGUGUGUAGUGUGUGAUGUGGUGUAUAUGGUAUUGUGUGUGUGGUAUGAGUAGAGUGUGUAUGUGGUGUGUUGUGUGUGGUAUGUAUAUACAGUAUGUGUGGUAUAUAUUUGCAUAUGUUUGUAUGUGUGGUGCAUAUGUAUAAGUGUGUGUGUAUGUGUAUGGUGUGUAUAUAGUAUGGUAUGUGGAGAAUGUUUGUGUGUGUUUGUGGAUAUGGUGCAUAUGUGUGUGUUGUGUGUAUACAUGUGUGGUAUGUAUUUGUGAGUAUGUGUUGUAUGUGUAUGGUGUGUGUGUUGUGUGUGUGUAUGUGUGGUAUAUAUUUGUGAGGGUGUGUAUGGUGUGUUCCUGUGUGCAGUAUGUGGCAUGUGUGUAUGUCAUGUGUGUUGCGGUAACUAUUAAAAAUAACCACAAACCCUUGCCAGCCAGCGUCGUUGAAACAUAUGGCACUAGCAGGGUAUAUUCAUCUCAGCGGUGACUGGUUCUAGGGCACCAGGCCACACUACUUCUAGCUAUUCUCUGGUCUUAGCAGUGGCCGCCACUCUGGCUCUCUGCCACCGAUCUCUGCUCACAUUCCCAGCAACCCAGUAAAAUCAAGACUCUAGAGGGCCCAGCAGCUUCCUGUUGCGGACUCUGCUCACAUUCCCUGCAAGCAACCUGCAGUCACUGUCACAACCCACACCAGCCCAACUAAAUCAAAACUCCAAAGCUUGUAACUUAACAAUCAGAUUUAUCUCAGAAAUUUAUCUCAGUAAAUUUACACCCCACAAAACACCCAUAUAAUAAACUCAGAGCCAAUAGAUGAACUGCUCACCUAGAUAAGACAAAUUGUCCUAUAAAAAUCCAUCCCUUAAGAAGUAUUCAUAACUACCUUGGCCAUUUAAGGCCACACGGAUCUGGGUCGUCCUUCUCUGCCUCCACCUUGGUUCUUCUUCUCUUCUCCUCCCCAUCCCUCCUCUCUUCAUAACUCUGUGCCCUCCUUAGUUUUUCACUGCCCAAUCACAGGCCUUGUCUUAGCUUGCGCCAGUCCUCACCUGCAUAUAGACAAUAAUCUAUACUUCUACCUUUCUGUCUAAUUACAAAAGGAACUUUUCUCUCAAAUAUAAGCUGAGCACAACUAUUGUCAUUUUGUAAUUUACAAAGUAUAAAACGUACCUAACACCCAGGCUGUCAUUUUUGUCAAUAAAAUAGAACAUUUUGUUAUAUAUUUUAGCUUAAAUCUAUAUGUUAUGUCUUGGCUAGCUUGUAUACUAUCUGAAAACUAUCUAAUUAAACAUGUAUGUUAAACAGCCUGGGUGGGCUAUGAGACCAUAACUAGUCUUCAACCCCAUCAGAAAUCUGAAAGUGACAAUACUAUCUGAAAAUAUAGGAAGUCUAGCACAGCUUCCCGAACUGAGACAAGUUGAAGAGACAACUGUCUAGCAGUACAGUCCCCUGUUAGCAACAUAUAAGAGCAUCAGUCUUCCGCCUUCUGGCCCAGUACCAUCUGACAGACCUUUGUAACACAGAAUUUUGAAGGACCGAUUAUUCUGACUUGGCAGAUGUUAUCAGUUGACUAUUCUGCAAGUGUGUCCUUUUCUGUAAAGGAAAUAGGCAAUUUCUGCCCAGUGGCUGCCUAGCCACAAUGUGUUACCUCACCUGGAGGUAGAGACACUCAAUUUCUUCUUUGAAUCCAUAAAAGGGGAGCUGCUAGGAGCAGAUGUGUCUCAACAACAAAAGAAUAAUAAACAUUAAAUGUCACAUUUUGUGGAUUUCUGACAUUUUUGAAAACUAUCUAUGUAAAGUAAUCUGGACUGUUGUCCAUUAACUACUCUUAAUAAAUUAUCUUGAAAACACCCUAACAGUAAAGUCAUAGCCAUGAGUUUGUUAUCUGGCCCUUAAUUCCUAUGUUUAAUCAUCUCAGAUUAGUUUUUUAAUAUCAGUUAAAGGACUGGGUCCUAGGCCUUGUAUUCUUAAAUGUGUUAGGCACAGUACCUAUAUGAGGGUAACAAUAUUAAUCUCAAUUUUAAAUCAAUAUGAAAUUCAUACUAAUGAAAACCUUAAACUUGUACCAAAUAAAUUCUGUACUAAUGUAAAAGAUUAUAACUUCAGCUUAGUAACAAAUAUAAGGUUUUCUACCAAAUGAGAUUAUGGCUGCAAACUCAAUCUUAGCUAAUUCCUCCCUGUUAAAUUAUGGCCAUUUCUAAAUUCUCCAGAAAGACAACCUUAGAAUAACCACCUUCAGCCUCCCGGAGUUCAGGGAAUUGGGGCGAUGACUGACAAUGAGCCUCACCAAAGCUGUACACAUAAAUCUCAAAACAAACUUUAGUAUCAUCAAGAUAUCUGUAUGGAUUGUAUUAGUCUCUGUAGGUUAUACAGACUGGUUAGGGUGAAAUGUUGUUGUUGUUGUUGUAAUUCUUUUGAAUCUAGUUCUUCAGGAGGUCUCCCUUUAUCAAAUCUGAUCCACAUAAUUCUGUAAGGUGUCCAGAGCCUAAUCACCCUUUUUAAAAACACAAAGACAAAACCUUUUCCCAAAAUAGCAUGUCCUUUAGUUGGCCACCAGAAAAGCUUGUAUCUUGCACUCUCUCCCAGAGAAAAAAUAUUAUCACAAAACUUAAAAUCAUACCCAUUUUGAAAAUUAAAACAAUUUAAAAUAAAUGAAGUAAACUAAACAAUACUGUAGGAGCCUGUUUAGGCUUCUCUAAUCUGUCAUGUCAGGAAAUCAACCCAAAAUUCCUGUGGAUCCCACAUUAGAGAGAAUCUGAGUAUCCUGCAGGCCAAAACAUACCAUCUAUCUGUUAACCUCUCUCCCUGGAGCCUCAGACUUUUAUUCAUUAACAGCUAUAAUACUCAUCAACAACUUCUAUAAUAUACAUCUGUUUGCACUCUGCCUGGUGCUACAGACUUUUAUUUUUUUCUACCUUAGUUCCGAAUCGUGGGUGAAAUUCCCCACGUGACUCCGACAAACUCUGUAUAUAAAUCUAUUCUAAAAGCAAAUAAACCAGCCUUUGAAUUAGGCCACACUCUUGGCCCUUUGACCUAGAGCUGCCUGUUUCUUUUCACAGCAGGGGACUGAGAGUCAGUGACUCCCCCUCUGUUCCUUUGUUUCAUGGUUCCCACGCUGGGGUCCACGUGACUCACCUUGGUGGCACCACCUUUUUGAAUUAGAAAAAUAAAAUUUUCUCAGGCUGAUAAUCUUAAAUUUUUAGUAGAUUCUUGCCUAACACAUUGGUUCACCACUUGUUGCAGUAAAUAUUAAAAAGUAACCACAAACCCUUGCUAGCCGGUAUCAUCGAGCCAUAUGGCACUAGCAGGGUAUAUUCAUCUCAGCGGUGACUGGUUCCAGGGCACCAGGCCACACUACCUCUAGCUAUUCUCUGGUCCCUGUGGCGGCCACUCUGGCUCUCUGCCACCGAUCUCUGCUCACACUCCCAGCAUCCGCCCCCAAAUUGUUACAGUAUCGACUCCCAGCAACCCGUUAAAAUCAAGACUCAAUGAGCUUGUAAUUUAGUAAUCAGAUUUCUAUCUUAAACUCUCAUCCCACAAAACGUCCACACAAUAAACUCACAACCAAUUGAUAAUGAUAUAAAUCAUCUACCAAUAUAAGAUAAAUUGUCCUAUAAAAAUCCAUCCCUUAAGAAAUAUUCAUAACUACCUGUGGCCAUUUAAGGCCACACGGAUCUGGGUCGUCCUUCUCUGCCUCCAUCUUGGUUCCUCUUCUCUUCUCCCCAUCCCUCCUCUCUUCAUAACUCUGUGCCCUCCUUAGUUUUUCACUGCCCAAUCACAGGCCUUGUCUUAACUUGGGUCAGCCCUCACCUGCAUAUAGAUAAUGUGUGUAUGUGUGUGUGUGUUGUAUAUGCACUCACAUGUGUGGUGUGUGUUUGUGUCUAUAUGUAUGUGUGGUAUGAGUGGUGUGUAUGUAUAUGUAUGUAGUGUAUAUGGUGUGUGUGGUAUGUAUUUGUGAGUAUGUGUUGCGUGUGUAUGGUAUAUGUUGUGUGUGUGUGGUAUGUGGCAUGUGUUUAUGUCAUGUAUGUGUUAUAUGUGCACACAUGUGUGGUAUGUGGCAUGUGUUUAUGUCAUGUAUGUGUUAUAUGUGCACACACAUGUGGUAUGUGUUUGUGUCUGUAUGUAUGUGUGGUAUAAGUGGUGUGUAUGUAUAUGUGUGUAGUGUGUGGUGUGUGUAUGUGUGUGUGUGUGGUAUAUGUGGUAUGUGGUGUAUGUGGUGUGUGUGUCUGUAUGUAUGUGUGAUAUGAGUGGUGUGUGUGUAUGUGUGUAGUAUGCAUAGUGUGUGUGUGUGGUGUAUAGUGUAUGUAUGUGUAUAGUAUAUGUGGUAUAUAUAUAUAUGUGUGUGUGUACUGCAUAUGUAGUAUGUGUGUUUGUGUACAUGUGUGUGCGGUAUGAUAUAGGGUGUGCAUACAUGUCUGUGGUGUUUGUACAUGUGUGUGUGUGAUAUGUGUGUGUUUGCAUGUGUAUGUGUGGUGUGUGUGUGGUAUGUGUACUGUGUGUGUGUGUCUGUGGUAUGUGUGUGUGUAAUGUAUGUGUGUGUGGUGUGUGUGGUAUGUGAAUGUAGUGUAUGUAUGCUAUGUGUAUGUGGUAUGUGUGUAUAGUGUAUGGAUGUGUAGUGUGUGUGUGUGUGUGUGAGAGAGAGAGAGAGAGAGAGAGAGAGAGAGAGAGAGAGAGAGAGAGAACAAGCAAACUGUGGGUAGGCAGGAAAAGAGGACUUGGUUUGUGGAUGGAGCACUCAGCUAGGUAGAUGGAUGAGCUCAACUGAGAUCCAGCAUGCCCCAGGGCUAACAGCCCCAGGAAACCAGUGGCUGGACCAGUAAUGUCCCAGCAAUGGGGAGGUGAGAGGUGAUCUGAUAGGAGUUAGGGGAAGGGGAUGAGUAUAAUCAAAAUAUGUUGCAUGUGAUUAUCAAACAGUAAGCAGCAGCCUAUUUGGAGAAAUGGGAGAAUUUUAAUUCAUCGAGAGAUGGGAAAGUGGGGGAAGCAAGGUCAUUUCUUAUUUGUUUCUUGAAAAAUAGCAUUAUUUUUCCUUUGCAAAUUGCUUCUUGUCUACCCAGAUGUAUAGGGCUUUUGUGUACAGACUAAUUUUACCCCAGGAUUUAAGAAUGGGAGGGCAGGUUUGAGGCGUAGGAUAAUGAAGUGGGGGUAUAUUUGGAAAUCCUCUUAGCUUCACCACCUUGGUCAUGUUCUCUGAUCAGUUUUAGUAAUAACAAGCACACUGUUUGGAUUGUGAGAUAAAAAGAGUUAAUUGAUCAAGAAGAGGGAAGGAGCUGGUUUCUAAGUUUAUUUAGGGGAUAAGGAAGGUGGAGCAGAGGGGAGGAAGCCACUGCAUGUAGAAAUCCUUUCUGCCACACACAAAGACACAAACAACCCCCCUGGAAGGCUCCUCUGAGGAAUUUGUUUUGAAAGCUGCUUCAGGUCAAGGAGCCGGAAGGAAUGAGUAGGGUUAAGCUCCCCUUCCCAGGCCCCAUGGUAGAGCCCUCCACAUGGCUCCGCUGUCUCUCCUUUGCUUUCGGGAUGAUCUGUUGGCUCCCCUUGGCCUCAUGCAAGUAUUUGAACAACAAACACAUGUUACUCUCACACUCAGGGAAGUUUUUAAAGAGUGCAGUAAGUUAAGCCAAAUGGAGAGGCUACAAACCCCAGCACCCUCGCUAAUGUGCUGAACAGGGAAGGAAGGCAGGCCUGUGGUUGAUGCAUUUUGAGAAUCAUCAGUGAUGAUGAUGCCCGAUGCCUUCACUCCAGACUGGGCCUCCUACUGUUGAGAGUCCCUUCUUCACAUCAUAGCUUUUCAAAGCUGGAUUUCCGUAUCUUUCUCAGAGUUUGUCUACAAACGAGACCUUACUGUCACUCAAGUUCUGUGCCACCCCAACCCCCAUCUAGCCCAGAUAGUGGUUGGGACAUCCCCUUGCCUGGGAAGACACCCAGGGGGCCACUGACAGCUUUGUGGCUUCCUUCCUUGGCCGACUCAGACUCACAGCCCGCAGCCCCACAGAUGUUCUUUUUGGGUUUAUCUUGAUAGCCUGUUUUAAAAACAGUUCGUAUCCACCAACUGUUCAGAUAAUAAUAUUCCAAGUACCAAGCAACUGUGAUUAUUUCCGGUGGUGUUUGUUCUGACAGGCACAACUUAGCUGGAAAACACGAGGCUGAUGGUAGGGUGUGGGGGGUGUGUGUGGGUUCCCCUUUCUUGCUCUCCUUCUCACUGAGGUUGGUAUGCAGCACAAGGAAGUCUUAUUUUUAGCUUGCUCUCAUAUGAGAGUCCCAUGUUUCCUGGGUGGGAGAGAAGGAAAAAGAAAGGCAGACAGAAGGCACAUAGUGUUCUGGGACCAAUCCUCUUUCCCCUGGUCUAGACCAUCACGACACCAAAACGAGGAUUUUGACACAAAGCUCAAAAGUGUAGGACUCCCUUCCAGGGCAAAGCUUAGUGAUCUAAGCCUCCAUGAAGCCCCACCUCCGACGGGCUUUGCUCAGGGUAGGGCUGGUACCUGAAAACGAUUGUCUCAAGCCAUCUAAACCAAAAUCACACUUCCUGCCUGCUCCACUGCCGGUUCAGGAGGCCUCAGCUUCCCCUCAGCGUACAAAGAUUCCUGCGACUUUUCCAGGCCUAGGUCUGCUGGUGCCUCGGGCCGCCUCCACUCUUGUCAUCCAGUGUCCAUCCAAUGUCAUCUACUGUCAAUCAAAUGCACCUGCCUUCCUUAAGAUUUUUAAUAAAAAUUAUAUUUGUAUGUGUGUGAGUAUGUGUGAGUGUGUGCAUGUGUGUGAGUGUGUGUGUAGGCCAGCAAAGGGCAUCAGAUCUGUUAGAGUGGAGUCACAGGUGUUAGUGAACUGUUGAACAUGAGCGUUAGGAUCUGAAGCCUGUUCUGAUUGAACAGGAAGUGUUCAUAACCACCGAGCCAUCUCACCACCCUCCUCCUGUGAUAUUCUAAUGUCUUGCUUUGUCUGUCAUCCACACACACUCUUUCCACUUGCAGCAGGCCCAUGGUCAUUGCAGCAGUAGUUUUUGUCACACCUUCCACUGUCGCUGUCAUAGGUCCAGUUCCCUAAUGUUAUCCCCACUGGUGUCUGCCCGCUCGAAGGCCCUAGUGAUUGCUUCCUGUGGGCAAAGUGGAAUCCCACGGCCUUCUGAGGGCAUGUAGUAUCCCAGGCUCUGCCUCCCCUCUCCUCAAUCUCAUGCUUCUUCCCAUGGCUAGGUGGCCAAGAUUACCACCUGUGCUGUCUGGUGGAGUGACUGCAGGCCAGUUCCAGGUGGUGCCCCACAGACACUUUCUGGGGUUGUACAGGGCCAGCCCCUGCAACCUUCGAACACGGUUUCAGCCUGAAGCAGCUUCUUCUCCAUGCCACACCACCCGUCUAGCUUCUCUCGGCAGAUCCUAGCCAAGAGAGGAUAGAUCUUUAUUGUGACUUAGAGAAAAAUGAUACCAGUGUUUAUUUUUUGAGUUUUCUUGUCAUGGAACCCAAGACCCCCAAAAGGAUAGAGCCAUGAGGUAUUUUUCUACGUGCACCCGCUGUGAUGACUGCUGUCUGACACUCAGCUCUGCCUGCCCUAACAGGUCCCUGGGAAAAUCUACUUUGCCGUGGUUUGAAUGUGAAUGGUCCCUGUGGGUGCCCAUGCUUGACCACAUGGUCUCCAGUGGGUGGUGCUAUUUUGAGAGGUUGGCUGAGCGUGCAGUGGCCCUGGCAGAAGCAGACCACUGGAGGUAGACUUUGCGGUUUUAUUGGCCUCUCAGUUCAGGUUAGAACACUAUGCUUGUUGACCUACUAUGUGAACAAGCCUCAGUGCACACUCCCGCCACUGUGGGGUUGUCCUACCAUGCCUUCCUCACCACAGUAGAAGAGCCACCUGACAGCCAAAGUCAGUCCUUCUUUGCUUCUGCCCGGUCACAGCAGUGAGACAAGUAAUCAAGAGAAAUAUGAAAGGAAGAGGUUUACCUGGCCUCGUAGUUCUGGAGGGUUCUGUACACAGUUGGCUGCUCCCAUAGUUUUGAGCAGGGCAGCAAAGCAAGUGAGAAGUGGGACUACAUUUACUCCAUGUCUAGGACACACAUAGUCCCACAGUUCCCUUCAGGAGUGCAUCACCAGCCUCCUGCCUGGCUUCACUUACAGUUCCCAGAAGCCCCUGGUGGCCCCAUGCUGGGGAGCAAGUUCGUUUGGGGGACACAAGAUUAAAGAUCCAGUAGCCAGUGCUCUAUGAACCGUGAUGGACGAAUAACAGAACUCAUGGGUUGGGUUGUCCUGGCUGCACAUUUUGUUAAUUAUCUCUGGUCACAUUUAGUGUUCUGCCAAUCCCUACCUGGGACCCUGAGUCCAGGGCAGGUGGUUGUGGGUGUGGGUGGAGGAAGACCUGGGUGAGGGAGCUUCAGGACCCUGUCAGUAGAUCACUUGUGCUUAUAUCUGCUUCACAACCUAAGGGCUGGUAGAAGACUGCCAGCCCUCAGCUACCACAGCACAGAAACCUAUUUGGGGGCCAGCAGGAUAGCUCAGCAGUAAACGUGCUAACCUUUACUGGUGAUCUGAAUUCAAUCCCUGGGAUCGACAUGGUAAGAGGGACAGAAUCCUACCCUUGUCCUGUGACCUCUGCAUUUGCUCUGUGCAAUGCACACACACACACACACACACACACACACACACACACACACACACACACACACACACGAUUUUUAAAAUAACGAUUUUUAAAGCUCUUAAUUAUUUAUUUUACUUAUACAAGGUCUUUCAUGUAACUUUUGCAGGUGAAUACCGCUCAUGAUAAAUUAAAAUAGAAACAAACCAUGAAUAUAGCUUAGGAAGGCAAAAGUCCCAAACUCUCUAAAAAGAAUGCCUUAAUGGUGCUUUCCACAGCUCAGAGCAAUCCCACUUCACUGUGGGACAGCCCCUUGGUGGAAGAACCGUGCAGGCAGAGACCACCAAUGGUGGGGUUCAGGAACCCCGGGAGAGGUGAGAUAGCUGGGCAGUGUCCUGGGGUGCGGCACCAGCCAGUCUGCACCCGGGGGAGCCUUCCGUGUUGGUCAUCUGCUGGUUUCCUGGCUUGUCAUCUCCAGGCCCUCCGCAGACUUUCUCAUUUUGAGUGAGACUGACUCAGCAGGCAGCCUGGGAGCCCCUGGUUGUUGACGGGGAGUGGCAGGGGGAAGCACUGUAUGCGCAUUUAUCCUGGGUUUGGAUAUUUAAAGAGCUGGACAGGCUGCACAAAAUUUCGGAAGUGCUUGGGGAAGGCCUGAGUUGUAGACCGGCUUUUCUUUAAACAGCUAUAGACAUCCUGUCCCGAUCUCUCGGUCCACAAAGAGUAAUUUUCUUUUCCUAACAAUCUGACAUGGGUCCAGCCCAUUGUGUAGGUCUCUCUGGCAGGCCUGGAGGAAGCAGGUGGCUAGUGGUGGGACACAUGCCCAGCUACGACCCAGGCCGGCAGUGGGUCUUCGUCCAAGUGCGACCUUGCUCCCUGCAAGAAAAACUUGGCAUGGCCUCCUGGGCUGCUGGGCUGUGGGGGCUGACCACCGCCAAGUUGUACCAGGGCACCUGGGCCGGGGCUGACCCUGCACCUGGGGUGGGAAGAAUGAACUCUCUGGGCCCCUGGGGGGUGUUGGCAUAGAGAAUAGCCACAGAGCCCCUGGGGACUCUGGGCCCGGCAGGCUUCCUCUUUAGGGUUUGCUGUUUUCCCUGGCUCCGGAAACUGCUCCUGCGUCAUUUUUACUAUUUGAAUGGCCACGUUGGGUUGUUUUCAGGGAGGUGCCCCCUUUGUCGCUUUUCUCAGUCAGGAUGUUGUUUGCAAUAGAUUUCGUCAGUCUGUCUGCCUUUGUUUUCCCUCCCCAGUGCACAUGCAGGAAGUCUUCAGAACCCGUGGAAGCAAUGAGCUGCAGCGGCUGCCCCGAUGGGCAUGCUUUAAUUUUUCUCUUAUGACAUUUAUUGUUCCCAUCGUGGUUUUCACAGGUCAUCGUGUCUCCAUGCUCACUAUAGCACAUUUGGAAAAUGUAGAAAACGAAUACAGGUUAUCUGUCGCACCGGUCAGAGAGCUGCUUUAAUUUAAAUUGGGUGCCUUCUGCCCAUACCUUUUACGCCUAGUCCAGCCCUUACCUCCCUAGAGUUGUUUCAUGGCUUUCCACGCUUUGGAAGUAGAGUUUAAAACUUUGAAGAUCUCUUUUGGCAAAGCAGUGACUAAGACCAACCAUUAUUAGGGAGUAAAUCAGGUCCCCAAAACUCCGAGGAUCUCAAUUUAGUUUGAAAUUGCAUUUGUGUUUAUUCGUGAAUAUGCAUUUGAAGGUCAGAGGACAACUUUCAGGAAUCAGUUCUUUCUUUCCACCACGUAGGUCACGGGGACCAAACUCAUGUUUGAAACAUGUCAAGCCAUCCAGCGGGUGUACAUUAGCCCCUGAAUCUUUUAAAAUAAGCUAUGGUAUGUGGGAUUUUCUCUUUUUAUUUAAUAGUUUACACAUUUCUUGGUAACAAACAAGGAAAAAAAGGCAGAAAGUUGUGGGCCCUGGCAGCAGGGGUCUGGUUUCAGGCUUAGCCAAAGCAUUCCUCGGGUUUCCCCUUCUCUAAAAUGCUAACAACAUUACCUGAUUAGAUGUGGGUGGAGAAUAUUUGGUAGAGAGACUAUGGUCUCUGUGGCUUGACCCUACUGAACACUCAUAAAAGUUCUGAAAGUCCCUGUUAUAGGCUGGAUUGAGUCUAUUCCAACUCUGCCUGAAAGUCCUGUGCAAUCUUACCCCUCAGGACCUCAGAAUGAGACUGCAUCAGUCAGCUUUCUACUACUAUACCAAACUACCCGAGAUAAUGAAUUUACAAAUACAAAAGGUUUAUUUUGUCCCUGAAUUUUGGUGGAUCCAGUUCAAGAUCAGCAAGAUUGUUGGUUUGGGCCUCCAGUGGGUGUGCUAAGGCUUCUAGAACCUUCUGGUUGUACUGUUCUGGGGAACGUACCUUUGACACUUGGAUCUCAGGGGAACAUUCAACACCUAACCUGCUCACAUCUUGGUUUUGACUUUCAGCCAAAAAAAAAAAAAAAAAAAAGUUAGCUGGGUGGUGGUGGUGCACACCUUUAAUCCCAGCACUCUGAGAUAGAGUUUGAAGGUACAGAGUUCUGGCCUACGGAGCAAGUUCUAAAACAGCCAGGGCUACACAGAAAAACCCUGUCUAGAAAAACAAAAACAGAAAGAAAUAUAAGUGCGCUUGUUUAAGCAGUUAGCAUAGCCACUUGGUUUUGAAAUGCUCGAGUUUGUAUGGCCCAUGCGUCAGAAUUAGAAAACCAACCACGCCAUUCUGCUAAGUGCACUCUAGAGGCACGUGGUUGUAGAGCUGGGCAGACCAACCCAGUUCCUCAGCAGGAUUAGGGUGUCACUGUUCUGUGCUUCUGAGACCCCACUCUAAGUCCUUGAGCUCUAAGGGCUGUGCACAGGAAGCUGAGGAGCACAUGGAAGAAAGCACAUGGUCUUGCUCUGCCCUGUAGCUCGUUCUAUUCCCAGGGAGACUGGUGGCCCUGUGUUCUUCUCUCACACAUCGUUCCCAGACUCAUGUUCCCCCAGGCCGCAGCCUGCUCUCCAGUUCCACUUGGAGGGAACUCACUUCUCCUUCAGGAGCCUUGCCUAGCGUCUUCCAGUACAGAUGCCCCUUUUAUGGAAGUGCAUGAAUACUCAGUGACUUGCUAUCACCUCCAUAAGGCAAUGGAGGUUCUCUGUGUAUUCUAGUUGGACCACAGAUCUUAGGUAGGACCUUGGCUCUAGAUUUGGUCAUAGCGGAGGCCGCUAAGCGAUGGGCAUGCAAAGCUUCCUUAGGGCAAUGAAGCCAGCCCCCUAGCUUUUCUUUGGACUAUGGAAGUUGCUGCUGGGUAAGGGAAUUUUUGUUAGGAUUCUGAGAUGUGGUUGAAGAGUUAAAUUUCAAAAAGUUAGUCAUAAACAAGGUCCGGACUACCUAAGGGAGACUAUAGGGCUUGCCGGACCAUUUGGAGCUGAAGAGUUAAAAUAAAAACUUCAUAAAAACUAUAAAAGAACAGCAGAUAAGGGGGCAGGACAGAGCUGGCCUGAGAUGUGCCCGGCCAAGCCCAAAAGCAAGGUCGAGGGAUUGUUCCAGGGACCGGCAGCCACCAUCUCCUCUGAGUCGGGGGCCAUCCGGACGGACGGAUGACUCCCUGCUCUACAGAUAAAGAUAAGACGUUCUCCUAUAUUGAGAACACCCCAGCCUGCACGUACUGCUUGCAGAUGAGACCUUGUACCCAUUUCCCUUGCUGAUAACCACGUGAAACCCCCUGGCUUCUCCUAUAUAAACCCCUGCCUGAAGAGGCUCGGGGUCGAUUCCUCUGUCUCCUGUGUGAGAUACGUGUCGACCCGGGAUCCCGCUAAGACCCGGGAUCUCGUUAAUAAAGCUACCUCCUGCUGUUACAUCAAGAUGGCUACUCGUGAUUCCUGGGGGCACCCCAUCCCACGAUUGGAGCGAGAGACACGUCCCCCGUUUAGGGGUACGCUCUUUCAUGGUCUUACUGUACAGGCUGGACUGAGUGGAAUCUUUUUCCUCAGUCACCCACGUACUGGAAUUACAGACACAGAUGACCAUGCUUGGCGUUUGGGAUGGUUCCACAGACCCUGGACAGCAAGGAAACAGCCAACUCUCCUGAGAAUGGAGCAACAUCCCCACACCCACGUUCCUAGGUUCUCCAGAGACAUGGCGCCCCAAAGUCAGCAGGAAGUAGCUAAAGAUCACGACAACCAUAUUCCUGCUCCACCAUCAUCUCUUCCUAAUUUUUACUUCUUUUUUUCUUUUCUUUUUUUCGGAGCUGGGGACCGAACCCAGGGCCUUGCGCUUGCUAAGCAAGCGCUCUACCACUGAGCUAAAUCCCCAACCCCUAAUUUUUACUUUUUAAAUUACACCAGAAUGGGAAAAUGUUAGUAUUUUGUCUAGGCUCCACCCUACCUUUACCUAGCAACAUCCAGAGAUGCCUGACUCACUAUAAAAGGGUCUGCUGUCCCCCUCUUCUCUCUUUUGCCUUCUUGCUCCUGCUGCCCCUUUCUCCCCAUGCUCAUGGCCAGCGCGCUCUCUCUCUCUCUCUCUCUCUCUCUCUCUCUCUCUCUCUCUCUGUCUUUCUCUGUCUCUACUAACCUCUCAACUCCCCUCCCUAUGCCCUGAAUAAACUCUCUCCUAUGCUAUAUUGUGUGGCUGGUCCCUCAGGGGAAGGGAUGCCUCAGCAUGGGCCCUCAGAGGCACCCCUUUGCCUCACACCUUACUGCACCUCUACCAAACAUAUUCCUUCUCACUCUACCUUUGAAUAGAACACAACACAUGGUGCUUCCUCACAGCGACAUAAUGCAAACUAGGACAGCAGUUCUUGCCAAGGAGCUCUGUAUCGUAAGAGGACAUGGCUGCAGUUUGCAGUCAGUGUCACCUCUGACUUUCCAUAUUGUAUGUGUACAGGGUCAGGGUCAGGAAGUGAGGCUCCUUCUGGGUCAGCGCAGGCCUAGCAUGCAUGGACUUCCUUUAGAGAACCUCAGAUUCCUUGUUGGCAUCUCGUCGCACCUUUCAGUUCUUACCAUUUUGGUGCUGGCCUUUGGUGGCCACAUUGCUUCGGGAAUCUGACAUCUGAGGAGUUUCUGCAGCUGAUUGCUUAUCCUAAGCACAUGGAGGUUGGAGAUGGGGAUGUCUGGUGAGCCUUGGGUCAGAUAAAGAGAAGUCUCAGAUUAGAUCGUAGCUCAGUGCAGGAACAGUUGCCGGAUGCUGGAGGCCUUGGAUGUGGUUCCCAGUGUCCCCUACCCCCAAAUAAAAGUUUCAUAAGUGGGGCAGGAAGCUACCAGAUAGGUCUAAGGAUGGGGCUCUGAAGGGUCUCUGUUCUGUCUCCCUGAGUAGCUGCCAGUCUGCUGGUUUUCAGAAUUAUUCCAGAGUUAUAGAUGAGGUGAGACCAAGGUAAACUGAGAUACCACAGGGCUCAGAAUGCUUACCAAGAUCUUGCCAAGAUUUCCUUUAGAAAAGAAAAGAUUUAUUUCUCGUGUGCAUUGGUGUUUUGCCUGCAUGUAUGUCUAUGUAAGGUGUUGGAUCUCCUGAGGUUGGAGUAAUAGAUGGUUAUGGUUAUGAGCUGCCAUGUGGGUGCUGAAAACCAAACCCAGGUCCUGAAAAGCAACCAGAGCUCUUAACUGUGGCUCCAUCUCUUCAGCCCUAGUUUUUUCCCCACAGGUGGUGUGUAAGUCUUUGUUUACUCCUCAAAUUCUGCAAGGUUAUUUAUUUUAUCAGCUACAUUAAAGCAUAGAAGUUGUAUGUAUUUAUGGAUAUACUGUGCAUUUAUGUUUGGAUAUAUGUGGUGUGUUUGUGAACGUGUACAGCACAUGCAUGUGUAGGUGUAAGCACCCAUGUACGUAUGUUGAGGCCACAGGAAGAUGUUCAGUGUCCUGUUCUAUCAUUCUCUGCUGUAUUCCUUUGGGCAGGGCAGGCUGUCUCACGGAAUCCGAAGGACUCUGGUUUGGCUAACCUAGGUGGAACUUCUUGUCUGUGCUGGGGUUUUCAGCUCUCACAGCCAUGCCAGGCUUUUGUGUAGGUGUUGGGAGUUUGAACUCUGCUCCUUAAGUAUAUACAGAGUGUUCUUACUCAUUUCUACGUAUGCUGUUUAGCCGGAUGCAGACAUUUAUUUCAAACUGCAUCAUUUCUUUAUGACGGCCUGUACGUCAGCACUCAGCCAGCACAGUGGCUGGGGAUGUUCCACUGUGCUCCGUACCUCCCAGAACACAUCCAAACCCAGGGAUCUUCAGAUACGUGACCUGCCUCGAGUUGCGGGCAAUGCUUAGCCUGUAGCCACUUUAAACGUGGGAAUAGGAUUAGGAAUAGUGGUUAGGGCAGACAUGGAGUAUCUCCCAAAGUAUAGACUUAGAACCUGGUCCCAGGAAUGUUCACAAGUGGUCUAAAUUGUGUGACAAACGUUUCCUCUCCAUUUUCUUCCUGGGACAGUCCUAGAGUGCACCAGCACAUCUAAGCUUAAGGAGGCCCUAGGUAUAAGAAGCAAUCAGUUAUUUAUCUUGACAUUUCCUGGGUCCCUCGAACCACAGAGCACUCUUUUACACCUUCCUUUGACUGACAGAUUGUUGUUUAUCCUGUUAUCUUCCUGAAAUCAUAUAAAAUAUGGUGGUUCCUCCACACCAGGUUGCUUAGGACAUCAGUGCUGGACCCUUAAGGACACGAAGACCUCAGUCAUUCAGGUGAGUCUGAUGUCACAUCCUUGCUGCUCCAAGUCUCCAGUGACCAUAGUACAAGCAGGGUAACAGGCCAAGGAUGCUAAGUCAUAGGACUGUUGUGCGGUGACGACACUAGCUUGUGUGUGUAGACUACUGGAGCCAGGUCAUGGCAGACAGUGAGUUUUAUGUGCAUUAGUAAUUUGGCCUGAGGGCAUUUUUAAGAGUUUGUGUUGCAUUCAUUACCAUUGAAUUAUUAUUACAAUGUGGUUUUGAUCUAUUAUUCUAACCUUUUCUUAAUAAAAUGGCCAAGAGGGAAGCUUAGUCCUGCAUGACUGUGGAGUGACAGUACUUCCUGUGUGGAGUGACAGUACUUCCUGUGUCUCCUUUGCUCCCUUUUUUAUGGGUUCUUUUUGUCAUAGCAUUCCAAAUUCAUUGAUAUCUGUGGGUCUGGCUGGGGCUUGAGGUCACAGUAAAGUUCUCCUUGAAGUGAGAUUUCAAAGAAUGGGGAAAAAGUAGGGAGAGGCUUUCUCUGGGAAAAAGAGUUAGAAUCAAAGGACAAGGAAAGGAUGAACAUCAUUCAGUAAACACCCCUGGGAAUGGACAGCAGUGAGCUUCAGGACCAUCAAGGGAAGAGUCAGCCAGCAGCCUAGUAAAUCUCACAUGGGGUCCUAUUGCAUGCUCCAGAAUUAAGCCUCUUCCUGGAGGGAAUGCUGGCUUCCCACCUCUGCCUCCAGGAAGGGAGAUGGCAGGGUUGUAGCACCAGUGUUAUGUCAUGCCUCCGACACCUCCACCCUGAGAAUGGAGGGCAGAGCUCCUCUCUUUAGAGCUGCCUUGUCACCUGGCAGAUUUCUACUGCAGACUCAGGUUCAGGGCAGCUCUACGUUUCCUCCUGGGUCUGUCCUCUAGAAGAACAUUGAGGAGCCAACGUGACAUUCCCAAAAGGAAAAAGUGCAUCCCUGAUCCCCCAGAGAGUGAGAACAGAGACUCCAAGGGCCAGGUGUACACUAGGCUGCAUAGAGCUCCCCAGUGUAGGUGAUCUCAGAGUAAAGGACACUCCAAGUGUCCUGUCAACACUCACUGAGGAGUAAAACUACCUUUGCAGGAGCUCCACUUUGAUCUACAGCAGGUAAUGAAUUAAGGCUGGCAAAGGCCUUGCCUUUUCCCCCAGGAAGGAAAAAGUCUGUCAUGAUUGUUGUGCAUAAAAAUUCUAGGCCCCUGUCUACUGUAUGUUUGAACCUUCCACUGGUCCAUACUUUGAAAUGAUGACCCCCUAAUCACCAUGCCACUACACAGCUUACAAGGCUGGGUCUUCUGAGCAGCCUGGCAUCUCACAGACAGCUUCAACCAUGGCAUCCUGUCUGAGCCCAGGCUGGACCCCAGGAACAAGUGACUGGAGGGAAGCACCAUGCCUGGGUGGUGGUGGGGGGAGUUCACCUUGCUGGAGGAGGCUCAGGGCUGGUUCACUGUUCUGCAGACACAGGUAGAGCUGGCUCAUUUACAGCCAAAAUAUUGUGUUCAGUGCAAAGUUCUGUUUUGCUGUAAAGUUAUAAAUGAUGACACUCAGCCUGGUUCCUGCGAGUUCUCACUCCCGAGGAUCUGCUUGCUCUAGCUGCUUCUCCGUUACCGCUUUCACACACCGUCUUCUUGGCCGUUGUUACCACGCCCAAGACUUGCAUAGCGUUCCACAGACUGUGCUAGCAUGGCCCCACACCAUGCUAGCCCCAAGCGUUCUGUAGACUAGCACGCCUUCCUGUCACAAGCUCUGUUCACACUCCCAACACCCAAUGAGAUCAUUACUCAGCAGACUGGAGCCCGACAACCAGAUUUAUGUGUUAAAUGCUCAAUGUACAAUGCAUCCACACAAUUAACUUACAGCCAAUUGAUGAGAUAUAAUGCCCACGUAGACACACAAAGGCCUGUACACAUCCGUCCCUUAAGAACAUUCAUAACAACCUGUAAAGGUGCAGAGAGGAAUCUUAACAUCCUCCUUCAUGCUCUCUCCGCUCUUCUCCUUCUUCGCUCCAGUCUCCUCUAAAACUUUUCUCCUGCCCAUCCUUCCUUCUCGUCCAAUGGCAAGCCUUGUUCUAUCUUGUACCUGCCUUCACCUAUAUGACAUCAUCCUACGGUUCUGACUGGAAGAGAGGAGCCAAGAGCUGGUGUCCAUCUCUGAGACUGAAGCACAGCUCAGGACUCUCUAGGCUUGGAGGAGAGCUCAGUCUCCAUGCAUCCCCCACCUUUAUAGCCCCCUGGUGUCAGCAGUUGUACUGAGUGGCCUCUGUCUGGUUCAUAUACCCACCCUGUCUUGUUUGUCAUUUGGUGCAUUAAAGAAAAAGACUUUCCAAGGAGUCUGGCUGGCAUGGCUGGUAACUGCCUGUUUGGCAGCUCCUGGAGGGGUGUGGGGUGCAGUCUGUGGGUCUCACUCCCGUUCUAUCCAGGCUUGUGAUGGGCUGGGCUCUGGUCUGCUUUAUUCUGCUGGGCUCUGAUCACAGCUACCACCUUCAAGCCAGAGUGUAUACCUUUAAUUUAUUCUGGAAACACUUCCCACAGCUAAUCUGGACCUGCCCCGGAACCCAGAGCUUACAGGAACACAGGAUUCCAUUGGGGAGUUCUUGGGUGGAACACUAGGGACCGGCAGUCUCCUUGUGGAAGAUACCACAGGCCCGUGUGAGGAAGGGGUCUUCCAGCCGGGACAAACCAUUUCAUCCCCUCUUUCCUGAAACAUGACUUUAGGGAGGACAAAACUCUGAGUCUCUAGCAAGUUCCUUGCCCUGGGAUUUUCAUUUCUGCAGCAAAAGACAGAAACUGUGGCUCAAUUUAAUGAGCUCUGUUGGGGUUGCUGUGAAUUGCUUUUAUUGGGCUUGCACACUGAGAGGCCAGGACCGCACUCCUUCCUGCCUGCCACCUCCCACAGAACCUUCCAGGCACCUCGCAGCACCAGCCUGAACACCCAGACCUCAGCUGGUAUCACUCCUCAUGACCAUCACACACCGAAUCCAAGUGCGGAAUUAAAUUAGACUCAAAAUGGUCACAUAACACCUGGGUCUCUGCUGAUGGUCACCAGUGACAGCGAGUGCUGAUUUUCUGUGGCCAGGCUCUCUUUCUCCAAAGCUCCCUCAUUUGAAGCCCCUGCUGCUUGUCUCUUCUAUUUUGCAGCUUUCUCUGUUAAGGUUGCCACCAUCACCGAGCUGGUGUUUAUUUCUCUCUUGCUGUCCUCCGAGGUAGCUGGGCCUAAUUCUGUCCUUCAUCCCCUACCACACGGCACUUGGAUACAACACUCAGGUAUUAAUUCUGAUCAAUAAUGGAAAUAUAUUCUUUAGCUGGCAGAGGCCGCUCUUCUGUGCUCAGCCAUGGUGGAGGUGGGGUGUGGGAGGGAAGGACUCAGUUAUCUUUUACGGCCUCCAGUGGCAACUCGGCCCAAGGACAUUAAUAUGGUGUCAGACGGCAGCCAACACCACAGAAAUCACAUGGCCCUCCAUGGCAACACAGGCCACGGGACAUCCACACAGACCCCAGUUGUGGUAGGGCCCUUGGCCCUCGGUGGUAGCACCAUUCUUGACUGAUGGAAUGGAGCACACCCAUUGCUCUGUAUCUUCAAGGGUUAGUAAGAAGACCCCUCACAGCUUCUAUUUCCUGUCUCCUGGAACCAGGACACGUGACACAUUGGGUGCUUCUGUUGGCAGUUUCCCGCUGAGACAGGCGUCUGGCCAUCCCAGCCAACAACAGUAAAUUAUCCUGAAAACCCCCCCCCCACUAACCCAUCUUUCUGUGAAUUGUACCAAGUGGCUUCUGUUGAUAACAGAGGGAACAGAUACGUGCUGCUGAAACCUCUGGUCUAUUAAAAAAGACCCCGAGCAGGGAAGUUGCUGCUGUGUAUGUAACAGAUCUCUGUAUGUAUUAAUUCAGGCAAGGAACACUGAAGUCUUUGCUGUGUGCAUAAUUAAACCACUAUUUUUCUACAAGAGGAGAAAACUGAGUACACAACGCAAACACUGCAAUUUGUAGCAAACAAUCUGAAAUCUGAGUUAUUUGGGGCUGCAUGUGUGGACCUUGUGUCUACAUUGUAUGUUUAAAACCAAGGCCGCAGUGAGGUCAUGUGACAACACAGGUAAGCUGGGCCAUUUCAUGUUCAGAUAUCUUAUUCCAUUACCAAUCAUUUUACAGCCCCCACAGUCAGCUUAUAACAAAGGUUUUUAAAAAGGAAGCCAUGAGUUAGCAUAAUGCAAAUAUUACAUCUACUCAUGGAUAUCUACAUAUACUACACACAUAGAACACAGACACACACACACACACACACACGCAUGCACACGCACACAGACACACAAACAUCACAGAGAGAGAGGCGGGGGAAGGAGGGAGAGAGAGAACACACACUUGGUGAAUGUGAGCUAUGUACAGAGAUGCGAAAUAUACGGGUUCUCAGACUUUCCACCUCCUCUGGCAGAGACAUGAGGAAGGAGCUUCUGCUAUGGCGAUACAAUGUCAGUUUGCAAACUGGAAAUUAAGCCAGGGAGCGCCUCAAUGGUAGACUUAAGCUCAUGGUACUUUACCUUGGUAGCUACAUCUCUCAGCUCUGCGUCAUCACCACUGAAAUAUCUGAUUCAAACAGCUUAAAGCAGGAAGGUCUUAUCUUGGUCAUGGUUUCAGAAGAGUCAGUCCAUCGAGGCAUGAAGCCCUGGUAGAGCAGCCCUCUGCAUGGAGGACAGGAAAUGGAAACGCUGGCUCUGGGCCAGCUAUCUCUCUCCCACACCUUUUAAAUUACACCUGGGCUUCCACCAGGGUGAUGGUGACACUCUAUUCAGGCAAUCCUCUCUGGAAGCAUCCAGGAGAGCAUUUUACCAGGCUCUUAGGCUAUUAUGAAGGUUAGCCCCCACAGCAGCUUGGGUGAACGAAGUCACAAGCCAUCAUUUUCACCAUGUUCCUCUCAGUUGAUGUGCACCAACUAGGUUUUGUUGCUCUGUGCUGGAAACCUCAGUUAAGUGGUUGCCUCCAUCAGAUUGCUCCUGGGCCUGUCAGUGAAGCAUCUUGAUUAAUCAUUGAUGGGAGAGGGUCCAGCCCUCUGCGGGUGGUGCCAUCCCUAAGCUUGUGGUCCUUGGGUUGUAUAAGGAAGCGGGCUGAGCAAACCAGUAAGUAGCACCCUCCAUGGCUUUUGCCUUGGCUUCUGAUUGUGUCCUGCUCUGACCUCUCUCAAUGACCAAUCAUGAUGGGAUUCUGUAAGGCAAAUAAACUUUUCUCAUCAAGUUGCUGUGACCAGUACAGUAACAGAAGGUAAAUCAUGGUUAAGCCACAACCUUAACCCCACUCUGGAACUGUUGUGGUUUGAAUGAGAAGUGCCUGUCAUAGGUGCACGUAUCGGGCACUUGGCACCUGGGUGGCAGUGCUGUUUAGGCAGAUUAUAGGUCUUUUAGGGUAGAAGUCUUGUGAAGGAAGUUUGUCAUUGGGGGUGGGCUUUGAGGGCUCAUUCCACUUCCUGUUUUCUCUCUGUCUCCUGUGUAUAGUUGAGAUGUGCUCUCUCAGCUUCCUGCUCAGGGCAGUUGCUCCAUGUCUUCCCUAGACUCUCUGUCUGGAAGCCUGAGCCAAAACUAAUUCUUUCUUCUGUGAGUCCCUGCUGGUCAUGUGUUUUAUCACAGUGACAAAAAAGAACUGACGCAGCCACAUUUCAGGAACACUGUACUAUGCCCAUGAUCUUCCACAUAGGACUCAGAAACACCCAUUCAAUCUGCUCAGGGUGGGAACUAAACACAAAUUCCAGGUUGAGAAACUAGAAGCAGCCCAGGUUUGCCCCACCCCCAGCUCCAGUUCUUAACUACAUACACUGAGUUAUUUCCCAGUAUGUGGUGAAGAAGAACAUACAGGAGGAGCUAACCCACAUGUGUUCAAGUUGAGUGUCUUUCCCCUCAGUGAAGCUCUUGGUUUUGUUUCCUCUUCAGACCCCUCACCUGGGAGUUUUGUCUUGGCUGCCCACCCGGCAGAGUGUUGCUCUUUUGAGCCUCCUUUCUUUCCCCUGAAGUUUAAAAGUGGGCUGUCAGUUAUGCUAGCUGUCACUCCAGUAUGUGUCAUGGGACCCAGCACCUGACUGGGCUUCAUAAAUGUUCCUAAAACCUGACUAACUACAUAGAAAACUUGGCUGUGGUGAGGGGCAUAAGUAGCUAAGCAUGGAGAACAGCCUGGCAGGCCUAGCAGUAACUCCCAGAUCAGCAAAACCAACUAUUGCUCAGGGAACUCCAGGCACAACCAAAGUGCCAGCCCCCUCUCUCAUUGGAAAGCAAAGCAAGAAACAGAUUAAGAAUUGAUUAGCGCAUAAUGUAAAUAUUGAUUUUGUUCACGUGUUUUCAUGUGUGAUUGUAUGUGUAUAUGGUGCAUUUAUACUUUGGGUGUCCUUUAUUUCUCCCUGCCGUUCAUACAGGGCCUCUCAGUGAAGCUGGAUCCAGGAUGGUUAACAGCAAGUGUUGGGGUUACAGGUGCAUGGCCACACCCAGUGUUUUACAUGGGUGUGGAAUUUGAAUUCAGGUCUUCAUGCUUGCAAGCAAGUGUCUUGCUCAUGUAUAUUUUAAAAAAUCCAGUGACAGUGUCUUGUAGCUUGAAGGUGACUUCUCCUUGUCCCUCCAUUGCUUUUUUUUUUUUUUUUUUGCCUAGCUUCAUCUGUGCUUCUGAGCUGGCCCAACCCUCCUAGGAAAACCCACUCCACCUGUAAGAACAUACCUGCAUCUCUGAAAUUCAGAACCCUGUGGUUCCCAUGCUCCCUUGGCCUUAUGAUGAGGUCACUGUUGGUUACUAUUAUUUAGCUUCCCAUAGGCAGAUGCUAACGGAGUGAGUUGUAUUCUGAGGUCAUCUGUAAAUGUGCCAUGGAAACUGGAACACAGGCUCCCAUAGACAUUGUGUCACUGAAGGAGCAUGUGUCUCUGGCCAAGUCAGAAGACCUACGAACACAACCUGGCAGAACUGGGCCACAGUGGAGUUCUGGGGUUCUCAAGGAGCCCAGAAACCGAAAGAACCGAUUCUGCCUUCUUGAGCACAAGACCAGCUGUCAGAAAACAGACAAACAAACCAAUCAAACACAUUGAAAGGCUUGAGCACUGGUGACUCUAGCUCUUCUGGAACUUUCUUCUCUCUACUGCUCUUUCAUUGGUCACCCGUCACAGCUCCUGUCUCACUGCCAAGGACACUAGGUAUCAUCCCUCUAGCUGCUAGAGUCUACCACAAGAUGCUUCUCUAAGCCUCCCCACUCCCUCCAGGCUUCUCAUUCUCUUGGAGAUUUCCCAGAUGAAAGGGAGAAUGAACAUGAUAGAUGUGUCCCUAGAAGGAAUAUAGCAAAUCAUUUGUGGCCAAGGCAUCUGGGAUGAGACCUAUUAUGGUGGUGAUCACCUAGGACCAGGACUUAGCCUCCUCUUCACCUGACAGUGAUGAUGCAGCCCCAUGGCUGCCCUGGGAGUUCAGUGUACACAGGCAAAGCUCAGCUCCCAACUCAGCUGCCCCCACAUGAUCCUUGCCUGGCAGUCUUGGCAGUGCACAGCACAUCUUUCUUCAUAUUUGAAUGGCUUCUUUUCCAUCCUCACUUGUGUGGCCAUGUAGAUCUGCAUGUUAUUGUAAGCACCCAUUUCUGUUAUUCAGUUGUCUGUUAAAUUUAGAGAAAAAUAAAAAAGCAUGGUUCACCUUCUGUGACUUCAUUCUGGACAUGUUUUACUCUUCCCUGAGUUGCUUUCCUGCCUCCAGUUGUCAAUGAUUGCAUUUCAAUCUCUCUUGUUCUAAGUUUCUGUUGUGAUUUCUGCUUUGGGAUGAAGCGCUCCAUCUUUUUACCUUCUCGUGCUCUUGAUCACAGGUUUGAAGGGCCAUGUCAGCUCUAAGGUCUGGACCCUCUGUCUCUUUCUAACAUCUUUUCCGACCUCGUCUGCUUCUGUUUUUCAUUUGUUGCUCUGUCUUUGUAUGUUUGGCAGCUUUAAAAGUGCAUGUCAGACAUUGUGUAAAACGGUCCCGGGAGCUGGACCUUUUAGAGGACGAUUAAGGGUUUUUCUUUUUUCUUUUCUGGAAGGCUGGUAAAGUAUUUGACAAUAUUCUGGUAUGGUUAAGGACUGGUUAUUUGCUGUGAUAUUUAACUUCCAUCACCAACUUGACUGGAUUAAGAAUCUUCUCAGGAGACAUUUCCAGAUGUAUCUUCUAGGGCAUUUUGUGAGAAAAUUAACUGAGGAAGGUAGAUCCAGCCUAAAUAGGGGAGGUACCAUCCCACAGUGUAGAGGUGAGGAAAGGAGGGGAGAGGAAAGAGAGAGGGAGAGAGACAGAGAGACAGAGACAGAGAGAUGGAGAGAGACAGAGAGAGACACAGAGACACACAGAGAGACAUAGAGAGAGACACAGAGAGAGAGACAGAGAGAUAGAGAAUGGGCAAGUAUUGGCUUCUCUCUCUCUCUCUCUCUCUCUCUCUCUCUCUCUCUCUCUCUGAUAUCUGUUCUAUCAAGAUGUGAUCAAGCAAAUCAGGAGUACAAGCACUUGGGAGGCAGAGGCAGGUGGAUCUCUGUGAGUCUGAGGCCAGCCUGGACUACAGAGUUGAAUUCCAGGACAGCCAGGGCUACACAGAGAAGUUCUGUCUUGAACAAACAGGACAAGAACAAUGACAAAAGGCUGUGAGUAAGCAACCUCUGCACUGCCGGCUGUGCCUUCCCCACGACAGAGCAGCUAUGUCUUCCCCACUGUGGACUAGAUCGCUACUCUGUGAGCCUGAUCAAGCCUUUCUCUGGCAAGUUGCUCCUGUCAAGUAUUUAACUACACCAGUGAGGAAAAUAACCACCAGGUUACCUAAGCUUUUCUCCCUUCCGAAGCCUGGGCUGGAAGCUUGAGAGUUUAAGUGUACCCUCCUUCCAUGGCACUCUGGACUUGCAUUUUGUUCUUCUAGAACUCUAAGACUAUGGGAAUUAGUAAUGAGCGUUUAAUCUCUCAGUGGGUGAUUUCUGCCUGGCUUCUGUGGCAGUUAAUUUUGUGUCUGGAUGAAGGGAUGUCUAGAGAGACAUAAAGCUUUCCUUCUGGCUAUGUAUGGAGCUUUUCUGAGAUUAGCAUGUGAAUGGAUGUACUCAGUAAAGAAGGUUGCCUUGCCAAAGUGGUGGAUAUCAUGCAGCUCACCACAGAAGGCCAGGGAAGAACAAAAGGCCCAGGCAGACUGAGUGCGGUCCGUUUGAGCCAGUCACCCAUCUGCCUCAGUGUGCUUGGCUCCCAAGCCUUCAGAGUUGCACCAAGGCUUAUAUACCAUGUCAUCUCCAAUACCCACCCGAACAGUUCUUAGCCCAGUAGACUCAGACUGAGCCUCACUACCACUUUCCUGGAUCUCUAGCUUGCCAAAGCAGAAGGUGGGACUUCUGGCUUCUCGUGUUGAUUUUACUUCUGCAGAAACCAGAUUAAAACAGUUCUUUGAGCCCUAGGUUUGAUGCUGCUGUGAGUCACAACCUACGUCCCCAGAAUUGAAGGACCCAUGACCUUAGUUGUUUGACCUGCACUUGGAAGCUCUCUUUGGGGAUUUCCUUCACUUUCCUGUCGUCAGGGCAGCCACAGUUCUCUCUGCAUGUAGCACCUGGUACUGACUCUGGAGAGUUCUAAAAGAUUUCUCCUGCUCCAGAAUUCUCUCCAGGGGCAGCAGAAGCUGGCCUAUAAUAAAUGCUGUUUUCUUCCUCUCCCUUCCAUAGAGGUUGAUUCUGUAAGCCCUUUUCAAGUUCAUGGGGCUCACUAAAUUUUGCUGUCAAGGAGCUUGAUCUGUGAAAUCAGUGCACAUAACUGAGAACUCAGCAGUGGUGUGUGCAUGUGUGGUAUGUAUUGUAUGGGGUGUGUAUGGGGUGUGUGCGUGUGUGUGUGUGUGUGUGUGUGUGUAUUACACCUGUGGGGUGUGUAUGGUGUGUGUUGAAUUGUGUGUGAUGGUGUGUGUGUGUGUGUGUGUGUGUGUGUGUGUGUGUGUGGUGUAUUACACCUGUGGGGUGUGUAUGGUGUGUGUUGAAUUGUGUGUGAUGGUGUGUGUGUGUGUGUGUGUAUGUGUGUGGUGUAUUACACCUGUAGUGUGUGUAUGGUGUGAUGGGAUCUGUGCCUUGAACAUUAGGCACUGUCAAUGCAUUUCUUGUGUCUUGUGGAUUUGUCCCCUGUGGGGCAGCUUUGGUUUCUUUUCAGGGCCUUCCAACAGUUGGCCUUUGUGUCUAAUCCAGUGUUAUAGUUGUUCUCAGUGAGGAACUAAUCUGAAAUCAUCCGCUCAAUCAUAGCUGGAAACAGAUCAUGCUGACUUUUAAUUCUCAGAAGCCAGGAGGGGCAAGGCCGGAAACUGUUGCUGGGAACUUAAUUCUGUUCAACAAAGGGCCGUUGAUGGGAGAUGCAGAGAGAAGCUGCCUGCUUGUGUCAUUCGGAAGGGAUGUACAGAACACCCAGACAUGUGCCCUGAACUCCAGACGUGCAGACUGCAAAGCUCCCGUGGAAAAACACAGGCUCUCAGGGCAUGCAGAGUAACUCGGGUGUGGGAGGAGAAACCCAAGAGAUUUUAAGAGAGUGAAUGAAAUUCUGUUGCUAUUGUGAUGAAACCAGCAAACAAAGAAUAAGGACCAAAUUGAAAAGCUCAAUAAGACUGGCCCAUCGCCAUGCCUGUGUGAGCAAUGAAAACGGUAUCUGGUUGACAUUUUGAUUAAGAGCAACAGGAAGGGGAGGGUUUAAAGAGACAGUUACUGAUGGGCUGAAUGACAGCUAGCAGGAUGAGGCUUAAUGGAAUGAUGAAUAAGAAAGUAGAUGUGUGUGUACGUGUGCGUGCGUGUGCAUGCUUGUGUGUGUGUGUGUGUGUGUGUGUGUGUGUGUGUGUGUGUGUACAGGUGCAUGUGCAAAGUGUUGUAAAGGCCAGGAGUUGAUGACCAAUGUUUUCCUCAGCCACUGUUCAUCUUCUCUUUCGAGGUAGGGUUUCUUUUUGAAAUCUGGAGCUCACCAGUUCCAUUAGGUCUGGUGAGCCCCCAGGAAACAGUGAACCCCAAGAGACUCCUGUGUGUCCAUCCUCCAAUGAUGGGGUUACUUACACAUAAGUGCUGCCACACUCAGAUUUUCACACGAGCCCUGAAGUUGAAUCCUUGUGACUGGCAAGCACCUUACCAACUGCGCUGUCAAAAUGAGUUCAUUCUUGGGAGAGCUUAGAGGGAAUGGGUAAGCAUUGUAAGACAGAGGGUGGGAUCGAGCCAAGUCGUUAGUUUUGAGUUUGUUAUUUUAGUUUCAGACUCUAUGUGUUUUCUUUGCAUGGACUCCUUUUUGUUACCCUUUUUCCUUUUACACUAACUUUAGUGUUCAUUUGUCUUUGAAUUCAAGAAAAACUCAUCAGGGCCAGCUCAAGAUUUCUGUUACCCUGAUAACCUGUGCUUCUGUAAACGGUGGUUGAACUCUCACCUACAGAGCACGAGUCUUUCAAUUGGCAGACAGUAGCAGGGCACAUUGUGGUGAGAGCCGUGCAUGGAACCCUUCUCUAUGAUGUCUCCUUUUGUUUCUGCAACAAAGGCAUACCUGACAGCCAUCAGCAUGCAUGAUUCCUAAGGUCUGGUUUAAUCAUAUGCCUGUCUCUCAGCCCUCAUCAGAUAACUCCCAGGAAAGUGACUAGAGCCUACUCACUGGCUGCCAUCAGAUUUAUGAAUUGAGGGGUUUUUAACUGCUCAGCCACACAGACUGCAGGGGCACAGAGAGACACAGCAUCUGGGUAUCUGGCUGUGCUUACUAGCUUGCAGCCAAGUUAAGUCCUUAGAAACAAAUACAAAACUGUCCCUGGCUCUGGUGUGCUCACUAUGAAACUCGGGCCUUUCAGUGGCUGUCCUAAUGAACACACCCUGCGUGUGACACAGAUACCCCAGCCCCAGUGUUUUAGAGGGGCUCUUCCGCAGGCCUUCUAAUGGAGAAAAGUAAGGCACACAAUGAAACUUAUCAUAAACUCAGUGAUGUGUCCUUUCAGGCAACAGCUGUUGACAUGAGAAGACAAAGAACUUCAGGCCCCUGCUGCCCCAGUGAAGGCCACUGGGGAGCCACUUGGAAAAUGUCUUACUGCAGAGAGCUGCCAGCGAUGACGACGACUCUGGCACCAGCUGCACAAUCUGAAACCUGUCUCCGCUCAGUCGCACAGACUGGAGGGGCACAGAGAGACACGGCCUCUGGGUAACUGGCUGUGCCUUCUAGUUUGCAGCCAAGUAUCUUGGCGUCACGGAGUUCAGACUUGAUUGGUCUUGGUGUAAAUUGCUGGUCCCUGCUACCCUGCUUUUGGUAGCUGAAGUUUAACGUGGGUGUGUGUGUAAGGGGUCCACACCUGCUGAAACAUUUCAGAAGCAGUCCGUGCAGGACACUCAUUACACAUGAGGAGGACAAGCCAGGCUUCCCCUUCCCACACUUGGGUUCAUCGGCUAGAAUUUCAAAGAUUUCCUUCGUGGGAAAAAGAUACCUCAGCAAUGUCGAGUAGUAAUGAUGAAUUUUCAAACUGCUGCCAUAAAAAGCGAGAACAAAUCAUAGUCUGUCCUUACAUUUCUCUGUAACUUUAUACAGUAAAAGACAACAAAAUUCGCCUUGUGCAGUGGACAUCCCUGCAGGUUUUGACAGGUUUAUACCAUUUAAUCAAUUUUGAUGAAUUUAUUACAUUGAUAUGCAUAUCCAUCUGUUACACCCGUAAUCAUAUCCAGAGGGGUUCGUCCUCCCCCACCCCCAAAUUCCUUCAUGCUCCCAGUUGUGGUCAGCUCUCUCUACCACCCCCACUGCUGGCAACCUCUGAUCUACUCCUGAUGCUUUUGCCUUUUCCAGGAUAGUAUACAAAUGGAAAUAUCACACAAGGUGAGGCCUUUUGGCUUCGGGCUUUUUCUUCUUUUUGGAGAUUGGCUAACAGCAAACGCAAAUCUUUCCGCUUCUGCUCGCUGAGAGCUGAGAUUACAAUAGACACCAACACACCCAACUUCUUAAAAUUUAAUCUCAUUUGGUUAGCUGUAUUUGUGAACAUCUUCUCCAUUGGUGUGUUCUAUACAGAGAAAAGAAAACUUGGGGGGUGGGUGUGUUUCUGAGGAUCCCAAGAGCCCUGAGAGGGAACAUGGUGCUCUCAGGAAACUCGGGCCCCCCACAGAGUUUUUGCCUCUUAAAGGAGGGUGUGCAGGAGUCAGAAAGGUUGACCCAUCUGACCUUAGCCUCCCUGCAGCUCUAAGAAGACUGUGGGUUGCUUAGCCUUUCACUGUCUUUAACCAGCUUUGGGAUCUGACCUGGGGCUGGGUAAUUAACAUGACUAAUUAGCCGGGCUUCAGUUCUAUGGGUAGUAGUGGUUUGGGCAGCACCAGGUUUGUGGAGAAAAGUGCAAAUUAACUCUGUGCCCAGGCAGCACCCUUAUUACACUCCAUCAACAACACAGCUGGAGCAGCCUUACAUUUGCUCAGUGUUCACUCAUUAUGGUAAUUGCCUUUCCAACAAUGGCUAUGUCAACCCCCGCUUCUUUCCUGGAGAAACAGGAUUUUAUAUAUGUGUGUGUGUGUGUGUGUGUGUGUGUAAACCUGUGGUGGCUUUGGAGGGGGUUGUCUAGGCUAUUACUUGUUUUGUGUACUUGGUUUGAUUUUUAGUUUCAAAACCCAAGUCCAAGCCAUCAAGUCGGUUCACCUCUGAGGUUGUGUUGACUGGAAGAUUUGAAUUAUGUAGCACCCCCGUGCUUAGAUAUGCUUGCCUGUGUUUUUCAGAUGCGCGCCUAUGUCUCAGGAUCUCCUUCUGCCACCUCGUCCUGGAGUCUAUGACAGAUCUUAGCUGUGGCUUAGAUGGUAGCUAUGGCUGUACUGGGGAGAGAGACCACACAUCCAUGUGAGUCAUGCAGUGUGUGGGACAAGUGGACCGUGUCACAAGACAGAAGAACUGAUGAGGUUCAAUGAAGUAGGUUCAAGACCCCAGAGAAUCUCAGAAUUGAGAAUGGAACCAGCUCCCUGACAAGCUCCACCUGUCCUUCCACGUAACCAUGACACCCCACUGAGAGGACCAUUAUGAUUGGUCAUGUAGCAUAAAAAUGUAGAGUUCUCCAUGCUAAUGAGGUUUCUAGAUAGACCCUAAGUGUUUAGCCAAUGAGCUUCCCUGCCUGCUCCUGCAAAAGGUAAUUAGUUCCUAGUUCUCCCUGAGUAAGAUGUGUGCAUUUACAUCCUCAUUAAAUACAGCAGUUUGGACAAGCAA